CCAGACGGUCGGGUGAUCGCCUGACAUCUGAAAUAAUGACAUUAUUCCAAUAUGUUAAUGAAAUGUCUUUGUUUCAGAUGUCAGGAGGAAAGUCCGGGCUUCAGGGGAAAAAGGCGCCGGAUAACGUCCGGUUGGGGCGACCCAAAGGAAAGUGCCACAGAAAACAAACUACCCGUUUCUUUCGGGAAACGGGAAAAGGUGAAAAGGUGCGGUAAGAGCGCACCGCGUCCCCGGCAACGGGGGCGGCAUGGAAAACCCCGCCUGAAGCAAAACCGAAUAGGAGCCACACAGCGCAGACUUGGGUUUCGGCCCAUAAGUGCGCGGCGCGUUCCCCGCGCGUGGCUCGGGUAGGUUGCACGAGGCGUUCGGCAACGAACGUCCCAGAUGAAUGAUCAUCCAUCGCGCGCAAGCGCGAGGACAGAACCCGGCUUACAGACCGUCUGGCUUU
Molecule: RNase P RNA, 448 nt
Filed under: Alphaproteobacteria bacterium
Lineage: Bacteria; Pseudomonadati; Pseudomonadota; Alphaproteobacteria
Description: RNase P RNA component class A
Rfam family: Bacterial RNase P class A
About the family: Ribonuclease P (RNase P) is a ubiquitous endoribonuclease, found in archaea, bacteria and eukarya as well as chloroplasts and mitochondria. Its best characterised activity is the generation of mature 5'-ends of tRNAs by cleaving the 5'-leader elements of precursor-tRNAs. Cellular RNase Ps are ribonucleoproteins.
Source: RNAcentral